This 11288-nucleotide long non-coding RNA is filed under the name Pelobates cultripes (western spadefoot toad). Lineage: Eukaryota; Metazoa; Chordata; Amphibia; Anura; Pelobatidae. The record is from RNAcentral.
GGAAUAAAAGGGAAUUAUGACAUGUCACACAUGUCAUGUGUCCUUAAGGGGUUAAAAGAGGGGAGUGGUUAUAUGGCUAAUACGAACUUAUUUAUAAACUCUUUAACCUCUGAUGAAAUAGCAGAAGCCCAGGUACCCCAUGAUUGUGCUGCCUUGAUGGCACAAGAAACUGCAGAAACUGUUGUUGAUGGCACAAGAAACUGCAGAAACUGUUGUUGAUAUGCCAUUAUCUAAUCCAGAUUUUUAGUAUUUUGUAGAUGGGUCUCGGUUUGCUGAUGAGAAGGGUAACUUCCAUACUGGAUAUGCUGUAAUCUCUGUACAUGAGGUAAUUAAAGCAGAACCACUUGCUCCUCGCUGCUCUGCAUAAGAAGCUGAGUUGAAGGCUCUCACUGAAGUGGGUAAAUUGGCCUCAGGUAAGACCAUUAAUGUUUAUACCGAUUCCCGCUAUGCCUGUGUUUGCCCAUGGACCUACACAACAAUCAAAAAUGAAUAUGAUAAGCUUGGUAAAUGCACAUUGGAUUGUUCCAGGUUUCACUGUAGCUGCUACAAAACAUACCCAAAGCUGCAUGAUUUGUGCAAGAUACAUUGUAGGUCAGGUAACCCAGUCUAAACAUAUGCCAAGGUCACUUUACCCAUUUCAGAGAUAGGAGUGUAUGUGUUGGUGUGUAUUUAUCUCUUUUCAGGUUGGCCUGAAGCAUACCCAUUAUUGAAGGCCAAAGUAAAAUCAACAGCAAGUAAGCUACUAAAGGAAUUUCAGUAGCCAUUUUACUGGUGAAAUAAUGCAAGAGAUUAUGCAAGCCCUAGGAAUUAUUCAGGCAUUCACACCCCAAACCACCCUCAAAGUAGUGGCAAGGUAGAAAGGGCAAAUUGUACUUGUACUGAAAAAUAAAAUAGCUAAAGCUAUGCAAGAGACUGGCAAACUUUGUACGGAGUGUCUGCCUCUAGUAUUAUUUUCUAUGAGAUUCACACCACAUCCUAGAACUCAAAUUCGUAAAAAGAGAGAAUGGUAUGACACUCUCCUAGGAGCUUCCUAAAUGCUGUAGACCUAGAAGUAGUGAGAAACAAGAUAGCUGGGGCUGGCAAGGAUGUGGAUAGCACCCUACAGCUUGAAGCACAAUGGAUGCCCUCCAUGUUUCUCCCACAAGAAUAUACUUUACAAACUAAACUUAUUAAUCUUAAGGCAGCUCAAUCUCGACCUAGUUCGACACUUAUUUACCAGCUCAUGCCUGGAUCAAAUUAGAUACUGAAUCCCAGGUGUGUAAUCAGACAAGUUGUACAGGCAAAUUCAAAGCUUAUGACAUGAAGCAAUAUAAGAUAAGAUGUGUAAAUUUCUGGUACUACCUGUCAUUUUUGUUCCACCCUUAUAUCCAGCCCAAUAUUGGACUCCUACAUUUUCAGGUGACCUGAUAGACACUAAAAACAUUACCCACCGUAGCUCAAAUUGCAUACAGUCUUCACUGGGACUAAUAUGCGGCCAAUCCUCCAAGAUUGAAGAACCAUGUAUGCUACAACAUUCUGUAAAUGUGUGUGACUGGACAGUUACUACAGGACCACUAGAUAUGUAUAUGGAAAUUGCACCUUUAUAUAUUAUCAUUAUAAGCUCUUAACCAGAUACCACAUAUAUGUGUCACGGUUCGCACCGUGCCAUAGAGACAGCCAGGCAUGGCCAGGUGGCUCUAGGGGGAUUUUAACUGUAGUCCUUUUGUACUUUGGUGCUGCUGUAUUGCCUCUGAGUCACACUUCAGCUCAUUAUUCAGCCUAAUUGUCUAUAUUGCCUUGACCUGUCUGCAGAAUUGAGGGCUGGUAUCUGGUUAUAUGCUUAGCCAGACUCACCUGUCUAGAUUAGCCAGCUGUCACUCAGGAUUACCUAGAACACCCCGCUUGUUAGUAACUUGUUAACAGGGUAUUGAAUCUCCACCUUUUUCAGUAAUCAUUGUCAGUUCCUUGUUUCUGGUUGAAGUAUGAUUCCUGUUAUUUUGUCUCCUGAGCUUGUAUUCUCCAGACUGACCCUGGCUUCUGAUUUUGGCUCCUCUCCUCGUUAUUUCUGACCUCUGGCAUCCUCUGACCACGGCUACACCUUGACUAUCCUUUUGCUUGUGCCCUUGCCUGUACUACGAAUUGGAGCACUUUUCCUGUCAAGGCCACGGAUUCACAGCCCAGGUGGCUUCUUACCUGGUUACCGUGGGCUUUGUUUAUCUGCAAGGGUGAGCGUACAUCUCUGCACUUCGGACUCCCACCUCCAGGUAAGACCCUGACAAUAUGCUAAAUGUCUCUACCCUGUUUGUGGGAUGCUUCAGGAACCUCACCAUGCAUAAGGGGUUCAACACAACCAUUAACUUCAUCCCAGAUGCCAAACUUACCAUCACUUCCACUUGGCAUCCCCAAGCUCUGGACUUUAAACCACAAUCUGUUUCCCUUCAACCUCUCAUUGACAUUAUUAAUGACACCCAUCAUAUGGCAAGACAUCUAAAUAUCAUGAAUCAAUCUCUACAUGAAACAAAGAAACUAACAAUUAUAGUUCCUAUAAAACUUCACAGUAUUGGAAAUAACAUGGGGUGUUGGUUAAUGAAGACCAGAAAAAGGCAGACAUUUAAAAUAACUAUUUCUCCUCUGUAUAUAUUAAGGAAGAGAUAUGCAAAUGAUUGCAGGAAAAAAAAAAAAAGGAGAAAAAUUUUAAUUGGCUAACUCAAGACAAAGUGCUGCAGCAACUAAUUAAAGUAAAUAUAAACAAAGCUCCAGGUGCCGGACGGUAUUCAGCCACGAGUUCUUAAGAAAUUAAGUGUGGAAAUAAGUGAACCUCUUGUUUUUAAUCUUUCGAUUUUCAGCCAAUCGGAUUUGUAAAGGGCUUAUUUAAGCACAAUUUUACUUUUCCUCCUUGCCCUGUUGUGGUUUCCCUGGUGGUUGUCCGAGAGUGUGUUUCUGAGCAUUUAUUUUCUGGUUAUUGACAUUGGCUUUGUUUAACUUCCCUGUAUUCUGGUAUCCCUGACUUUUGGCUUUCCCUCAUCGUGGUGUCUCCUUCUGUGUCCCUGACCUCGGCUAGUAUACUGACUAUUCUUGGGUAUGUUUAGUCCAGCCAUUCUGAGGCCCAGUAAGACGUUACCUUUCAGUCCUGGACUGAAAAGGUGUGACAUAAUUCUACGUGCUGGAUCAACUAGUAAUCCUGACAGUUCCGGUGGAUUGGAGGAAGGCGGAUGUGGUUCCUAUAUUCAAAAAGGGUUCAAAUCAUUGCCUGGAAAUUACAGACAUGUGAGCUUAACUUAUGUGGCUGAAAAAGUAUUUAAAAGGUUAUUAAGGGAUAAUAUUCAAAAAUUCCUUGAGAAGAACAUGGUUAUCAGCAAAAACAGCAUGGUUUUAUGAAGCACAGGUCAUAUCAAACUAACCUGAUUGCAUUACGAAGAAGUAAGUAGAAGUAUAGAGCAGGGUGUUGCAAUGGAUGUGGUCUAUUUGGAUUUUGCCAAGGCGUUUGAUACAGUUCCACAAAAUAGGUUAGUGUUCAAACUCCUAACCCUACUCCUUAACCAACCCUAACCCUACCCCUAACCCAACCCUACCCCUAAACCCUACUCCAAAUGCUAACCCUACUCCUAACCCUACCAGUAACACUACUCCUAACCCUACCCCAACAAGUCACUUUUCAGAAUUCCGAAGCACUUCGGCACUUCAGCAAUUCGGUUCGGCACUUCUGAAAUUUGGCACAUCGACACUUGGGAAAUUCGGCAUUCCAAAAUUCGGCACUUCGGCCAUUCAUAAGCAUCUGAAUGUCCGAAAUUCGGCCAAAUUUCAAUUCGGGCUGAACCGAAUUACACAUGUCUAGAAAUCAGCCUAUAUGUAAAUUCUUGCUUUUGGGUAGAACAUUGGCUUAAAAAUAGAAUACAGAGAUUUGUCAUAAAUGGUGCAUUUUUCAAGCUGGACAGAGGUGGCAUGUGGUGUCCCUCAGGGUUCUGUUUUGGGACUUCUUUUUAACAUGUUUAAAUGAUCUUAAAAAAAGCAUUGAAAGUCAUGUUUCAGUGUUUACAGAUGACACCAAACUCUGUAAAGUAAUGCAGAGGGAUUUGGAUAGAUUGGGGGACUGGGCACUAAAAUGGCAGAUGAAAUUUAACAUAGAGAAAUGCAAAGUACAAGCAACUUACACACUAAAUGGUAGUGAAUUAGGGAUAACCACAAACGAGAAGGAUUUGGGAAUUGUUAUAGAUAACAAAUUAGGCAGCAAUAUGCAAUGUCAAUCUGCAGUUGCUAAGGCCAAUAAGAUUUUUGUCAUGUAUAAAUAGGGGCAUAAAUUUUCGGGAUGAAAAUAAUACAAUGUGAGCAAGAUAUUACUUUGCUGCAGAGGGAUUUAGAUACACUGGGGGACUGGGCACUCAAAUGGCAGAUGAAAUUUAAUGUAGAAAAAUGCAAAGUUAUGCACUUCGGUGUCAAGAGUGCACAAGCAACGUUUACCCUUAAAGGAAGAAAAUUAGAGCUAACCACACACGAGAAGGACUUGUGCAAUGUCAAUCAGCAGUAGCUAAAGUCAGUAAGAUAUUGUCAUGCAUGAAAAAGGGUAUUACUUCUCGGGAUGAGAAUAUAAUUUUGCCUCUUUAUAAAUCACUGGUAAGACCACAUCUUGAAUAUGCUGUGCAAUUUUGGGCACCUGUUCUAAAGAAGGAUAUUAUGGCACUAGAAAGAGUGCAAAGGCGGCCCACAAAAUUAAUAAAAGGAAUGGAACAUUUUAGCUAUAAAGAAAGGUUAAAAAAAUGUAAACCUCUUCAGUUUAGAAAAAAGUCGCCUGAGAGGGGAUAUGAUAACAUUAUACAAAUAUAUUCUUGGGGUAGGGUGAGGUCCUCACUGGAGCAAAUAUGCAGGGUGCCAGGCAGAAAUAAGUAAAAUAAUUAAAGGAAAUGUGGCACAAAUUUAUGUAAAAAAAAAUAGCCAAUAUUCCUUUUAUUAACAAAAAAACUAAUUUAAAAAUUCGCCUGGCAAACAAAGGUUUAUAUAGGAAGUAACAUUCAUUGCAAUUUAGAAUUUUGAUGCCAAAAUGACGCCAUCAGAACGAGACGAUCAAAUAAAAUUUCAAUUGUAUAAAAACAUCUUUCACUAAUAUGUACUGUAAGGGCAUAUGGCAAAGAUGUGUAAAAUAUAAAUAACAAAACAAAGCUGUAAACUAGUUAAAAAGCUAGGCUGAAAGUGAAUCACAUGACGCGCAACUGCUGUUCCGCGUCAGGUGACUUGUGCUGUAAUUUAUGGGAAAUGUAGGCUGGCACUGUAGUGUGUGCUUCUAUAUUGAAAUCGUGCGCCGCGACGCAUCAUUGCACAUUGUGCUUGCACACUUACACAUGCGCCGCGGCACGUAUUUGUGCAUCACGCAUGCACCAGCACUGCAUGCGGUUGUGAUAUCAGCAAACUGAAUGCCCAUAUUAAGGGGGGUCCAGAGACUGGGACGUUACGUAUUUGGCCAAUGGAGGGUUUGGGAAAAUAUUAACAGCCAUAUUGUUGGAGACUUUUAGGAGUUGGAGAUAAGGUGAAAUACAAAUAGAAAAAUAAAUAAACAAACAGUGAAAAACUGUUUAAAGAGAAUUAACUAAUGAUAAUACUAUGACCAUAUUAGUUAAAAUCCCAAAUUGAGAGGGGAUUUUACAUUAACAAAAAAAGAAAAUAGUAAAAAUGUGUAAUAAAGAAACAAAAAUGAAAGUAUAUAUAAAAAUAAAAAUAAUAUAAAUUAAAAAAAAUAUAUAUAUAUAUAUAUAUAUAUAUAUAUAUAUAUAAAUAAACAUGAAAAAUAACAAUAAAAUAAAUGAAAUUAAAAGAAAAGAAAAGAUGGAUGUACAAAACAGAUCUGGAAAAUGACUCUGGGUUAGAUGUAUUAAUAUGAUUAACAUAAUUCUGAAGAUAUAUAUUAUAAAAAAUGUAAAAAGGUAGAAUUCAAAUUCUAUAUAAAGGCUUUCUGGGACAAGGGUUUUUAAAUUAAAUACCCAUUCCAUUUGUUUACUCCCUAAGAUUUUUUUGAUGUCACCACCUCUCUGUGGAAUUUUACAUUUAUGGAUACUGAUACACUUUAAGAGUUUCGGAUUUUUAUUGUGUGUGACAAAAUGUUUAGACACAGAGUGAUUUUCAUAGCCUUUGGUGAUGUUACGGCAGUGUUCAGCUAAUCUUAUUUUUAAACAUCUGGAGGCCAAAAGGUAUAUGAAUUUUUUUUGUAUUGCAUCCAAUGAAAUCAGUUUAGAUGUAUUUUAGAUGUAUAGUGCAUGGUUUGACUAUUUUGUGCAAUCAGGGUCAGUGCUGCACAACCCUUGUCAUGAGGAAUGAUCGUGUACAAGGAUUGAACAUUGCAGGUGACUAAAAUAUAAUUUGGUUGCCAAAUUAACGUAUUUAACCCCUUAAGUAAAAAGAACGUAUCAGGUAUAUCCGACAAGAAACGGUCCUUAAAGGACCACUCUAGGCACCCAGACCACUUCAGCUUAAUGAAGUGGUCUGGGUGCCAGGUCCUUCUAGGGUUAACCCAUUUUUUUUAUAAACAUAGCAGUUUCAGAGAAACUGCUAUGUUUAUGAAUGGGUUAAGCCUUCCCCUAAUCCUCUAGUGGCUGUCUCAUUGACAGCCACUAGAGGCGCUUGCGUGCUUCUCACUGUGAUUUUCACAGUGAGAGCACGCCAGCGUCCAUAGGAAAGCAUUGUAAAUGCUUUCCUAUGCGACCAGCUGAAUGCGCGCGCAGCUCUUGCCGCGCGUGCGCAUUCAGCCGACGGGGCGGAACGGAGGAGGAGAGAAGGAGGAGAGCUCUCCGCCCAGCGCUGGAAAAAGGUAAGUUUAAACCCCUUUCCCCUUUCCAGAGCCGGGCGGGAGGGGGACCCUGAGGGUGGGGGCACCCUCAGGGCACUGUAGUGCCAGGAAAACGAGUAUGUUUUCCUGGCACUAUAGUGGUCCUUUAAGGACCGUGGAUGUACCGGAUACGUCCACGGGGAAUUAGAGCGCCAGAAGCGAUCAGGAACACUUCCAGCAGCUCUAAUGGUAUUGCAGCGAUGCCUUGAUGUCUAGGCAUCGCUGCAAUACCCCCUCACUGCCGAUGGCUACCGGAGAACACCGGGUGAUCACUCCCCCCGGAGUGAUCACUUCUGGGUUGCUCCACAUGGAGCCCGGCAGUGACGCAGAGCAUCGGAAGACAUCAGUCUGGCUUCCGAUGCUCUGCCUAUGCUGAGUGCCUCGAGGGGUCGAAGCACUCAGUAAAUAUUUUUUUAAUUACAGAUUGCCACCGUUCCCCCGCCGGCGAUCUGUCUUCUUCUUAGGAGGGACUCUCUGGGCUGAGCCAAGAGAGUCCCCCCCUUUGCAAUUUAGGACCACAUGACCGCAAUAGGUGUCCGCAGUGCUGCCAGCAGGGGGGCUGCCGAACUAGACCCCUUGUAUUGGAAAAAAAUAAAAGGUAAUAAAUAAUAAUAAAAAAAUAAAUAUAUAUAUAUAUAUAUAUAUCUUAUAUAAAACGUCAUACUAAGUGUAUUUUUUAUUAAUAUAUACAUUAAACGUACACUUAGAGUAAAAUUACACACUUAUAUAUGUAAUAUAUAUAUAAGAACUAUAUAUAUUGUGUGUAUAUAUAUAUUUUUAAAAAUUAUUAAAAAUAAAUGAAAAGCUGUAAAAAUAAUUUAAAAAAAAUUAUAUAUAUGUAAUUUUAUUCUAACUGUAUUUUGAUAUAUAUAUAUAUAUAUAUAUAUAUAUAUAUAUAUAUAUAUAUAUAUAUAUAUAUCAAAAUACACUCCUGACACAAAAAUUGUCAUUAAGGACCGCAGACGUACCUAGUACGACCGCGGCAAAUAGGAGCCUUGGACUUACCCGGACCAGCGAUCACGGUCGGGGGGGACUGCCAGAGACCCCAGCAGUCCCCCUGCAGCAGCUCCGGCCACCCCGGUACUCCAGGGCCAUGUGAUCCCCAUGAUCACAUCGCCGCAAUAAGAGUCUAGGAGCUGCCGGGGAGCUCAGUCUGAGCUGUCAGACAGUCCCCAAGGCUGCUAAAAAAAAAAAACAACACACGAGGGUCGUGGCCACGGCACCGAUGAGACUGGCAGCUUGAGAGCCAAUCUCUGUCCGUGACAGAGGUUUAAUAAGCAAAACCUGGCGAUUAACUCAGCAAUGACGACAACAAAAACAACGCAACACUACGGGGACACCUCGACAUCCGAGAACCCCACAUCAAAGACCUCUCUGAGGAGAUUCUUCACAGAACACGCUGAACCGCAAACGCGCAGCAAAAUGGCGCCCGUGACUACCACACGAGGCAGUCAACCAUCCAGCCCGUCUGCCUCUGAGGACUCGGUAGAAGAUGCUGAUAUCAAAACAUUACUCACAGAACUGCCCUCGAAGAAAGACCUGGCUGACAUGUUCCAGAGACUGGAGAAUUCCUUCAGCGAAAAAUUACAAGCUGUAAAUGCAGACAUCCAGCAACUGGGAACCAGGGUACAGGCCCUAGAGGAUGCGGAGGAGCUCUCUGAAAGACAGUGGUCGGAGUGCCACACUACACAGAAGCUUCAUUCAGAAGCUUUAAUACAUCUGCAACGGAAACUGGACGAUGUGGAUAACCGGGGAAGGCGCAACAACUUGCGGGUAGGAAGAGUACCAGAAAGCCAGGAAGGCUCUACGGAAAACCCCAUACAGGUACUAACUACCCUCUUUAACCUCAUACUCGCUAGACCACCCGACACAGCGAUCCAAUUCGACAGGGCUCACAGAGCAGCACGGCCCAGAAACUCACCAUCGGACUGGCCCCGAGACCUUAUAUACCGCCUACACAACUUCCCCUUAAAAGAAGAAAUUUUCCACAAGGAAAGGCAGAAUAAGGACCUGAACCUUGAAGGCCAACCUGUAGCAGUAUAUCAGGAUCUCUCACCCACUACACUGCAGUCCAGAAGGGCGUUAAAACCCAUCACCACGGCACUCUUAGAGAAAAUAAUAAAAUUCAGCUGGAAUUACCCAUUUGCACUCUCAGUGGUGACCCUGAACGGACCGCACACCAUCACAACCCCAGCAGACAUUCCAAGCUUCCAACAGGCCCUGGGCCUACCCCUCACCGAAGUGGUAGAUUGGACAGGUCUAUCAUCUGGUGAUUACACUCAAAUGCAAAAAAGACCCAAAUGGCAGAGAACGCCGAGGAAGCGCAGACGGCAGAACCAAAUGGGAGCAGAAACACCCACUACACAGCAUGAACAGCCACACAUAUCCUUUGCUGUAUCUAAUUUAAAAGCUGAGGACUCUCACCACCUCAAGUUUUCUAGAUAAGUUUAAAAAUGUUUAGCUUAAAUAUUUAAACGAUGUUAUUGCCACAAAAUUAUUCUUGUUAUUUACCAACCGUCUCAUACAGCCCUCAAUAGUAUGAGUACAAGUAAUCGCUUAAGGUCAAAAGGGCAUAUGAAUGUGCGGGUCCGGGUAUAUUCAAAGGGAUACAGGGAUAGACCCAAGUACAGGGAAUUUUGAUUCAAGCCCCUGGUACCCCGAUUACCUUCUGUACCUCAAUCACGCACCCCUUGCCGCAGAAGAACUGUCACCAACCCCCACCAGAGAGGCGCUUACAACUACUUGGGGACACGACUGAGUCUCCCCUUCCCACCCUUCUCCCCAGAUACAAUCCCCGUAGCCCUGCACCAAUACCAUCGUUUCUCGAGUAAAAACGACUAUCUCUAUUAUGAUGGCAAAACUUAAAUGAAUGUCCCUGAACGUGAGGGGUCUAAACUCCACAGAGAAAAGAAGUACACUUACACAGGAAAUUGACAGGCAGAGAGCCAAUAUCAUAUUUAUCAAGGAAACGCACUACAGAGGCGAUUUCCAACCAAGGCUUAGAUCUCAAAAUAUCUAACAAUCAUACUAUAGUAACUAUAGCAACAGCAAAUCCAGAGGUGUGGCGAUAUUAGUAAAUUCCUGUGCAACCCUCAUUGAAACCAGUGUCAAGGUAGAUCCGGGAUUUUUAUUUGUUAAGGGGAAAUGACAGGGCUUAAUGAUCACUCUCGCAAACAUAUACACACCAAACUCAGACCAGGGCUCCUACGCCCGAACAUGUCUAACUAAACUAGAAAAGUUUGCGGAAGGAAUUGUGAUAGUGGGAGGUGACUGGAACAUGGUCCUCGACCACUCGAUGGACAGCUCCUCUAGUACUGCAGACAGCAGGCGCCAUCAGCGAACCAUUCUGGCAAAUGCGCUUCACUCCCAUCAAUUAAUGGACUGCUGGCGUCUGCUCCACCCGCAGGAUAGGGAUUAUACUUAUUAUUCCCCAGUGGUGAAAAGCUACUCAAGAAUUGAUAUGUUUCUCCUGAGCCACAGACACCUCCCCAUAAUGGAAGGGGCCAGCAUAGGUAACAUCACAUGGGCAGACCAUGCCCCUAUAUAUCUGACCAUAACUCUACGGGAUGCCCCCACACACACUUCACACUGGCGUCUCAAUGAGACCCUUCUAGGGUCCUAGAAGACAUGAAAAAGACUCUAAGUGACUAUUUCAUAGACAAUACCUCAGCAGACACAUCGGAUGCAUGGGUCUAGGAAGCUCAAAGGGGUCAUUAGAGGAGUCUUGAUAAAAUGGGGCUCUAGGAUUAAGAAGAAAGAACACUCAAACCGGACACCUUAUCGAACGCAAUACGAGCAAGAAACACUACACAAGAACAACCCUACCCAAAAUGCCUUUCAAAAGCUAAUGGCCCUUAGAAUGGAGAUUCGUUCUCUCCUGUCACUAAAAGCACAUAGAUCGCUCCAAGAAGCUCAUUUUAUACAUAUGGGAACAAGAGCGGGAAAUUACUGGCCCGUGCCUUGAAGGCCAAACUCAAAAAAUCAUUUAUAGCUGUAAGCAUAUGAAAUAGUUAACUUUUCUUGUUCAUAUGUAUUUUAUGCUUAGAUAAGGUUUAUAAUCAUUAGUGCUGACUGUAAGGACAUGAAAUGGUUAACUAUUUUUGCUUUAUAUGCUUUAAAAUAUUGUUUGAAAUAAUUAUGCUGACUUUGGCAGAUGUAUUUUGUACCAAGGUCUUUCGUCUACAGGAUGUAUGACAUUGCUUAACCUCAGGAUGUUCCUGUCCUGUCUUUAUUCAAAUGCUUAUCUUUUUAAUGUCAGACAAGUAUGUACUAUUAACUAUAAAGAAACGAUAAAUCUCACUGCUUGCGUGACAAAUUGUGUAUAAAUGCUAGCCCUGAAAAUACACUCAUUGAGAACUUGUUAAGCACUCUUUCGUGUCUGUGUCUUAAUUUGCUCACAAGAACUCCCAUCAAUUGAUGUGGUGACCGGAGGAUCGAGAAUCGAGAGGAGUUGAGUCCAGAACAGCAUUAACCCUUUCAGCUUGGUGUCAUGAAGUGG